UACGGUAUUCAGUUUAUAUGCAAACGCAUUUAAAUAUAUUUACCUCGAUACUCGACCAAGCUGUUGAAAAAUUAUAUUAAUUAGAACGAGAACAAGUAAGAUUAAUGUGUUGUUUUCACAUUUCUUUAAAUGGCUGCCAAUACCGCAUGUAAUAAAACAAUCGAAGCGCAUGCGCAUAAUAUAUGUUACACUCCACUAAACUAGUUGCAGCAAAGACAUUCACAGGCGUUCAUGUCACUUAUAUUCAUGAUAUUUCCAUAUGCGAGUGUGAUUGUAAACACAAGUUUCUGAAAACAGUGCGAAAAGGGGCAUUACGCAAAGCCAAUAAAUCUGCGCAGAUUUUUGUCAAUAUUGACAAUAAACUGCAUGUUUUCUUACCGUUAGUAAUCCGACAGUCCGUUGGUCACAUUGUGCAUUAGUCCGUUUAAGUUAUUAUUGCCUUACACUUUUCAAUAUAAAUUUAUGAACUUUAAACAAAAUAAGUAACUAACUAAGUAACUAUUUAACUGACUAACACGCGCGUUUUUUUCCCAAUAUCCGAGACAUUUUACUUUCGCACCUUGCCCUCAAUGUCUGGCUUUUAAAGUUUACCGCCUUUUUGCGAAUACAAUGACGUUUACAUAUGAAUUGCCCAAUGAAAAUUUCGGCGGGAUGACGUCAGGCGCCAAAACUGGCGCGUGGUUUUUCCCGGUAUAGACCCAGUGUGUCAACGCUGUAAAUGCAUUGUGGGAAACGGACUAUUUCCAGCAUGGCGCCCGUAAAGAUUAUGAACACGGAAGUAAAAAUAGUAAUAAAUUAUUAUCAAAAACAGGCCUCAUCAAACCGGGUCAGCCAUGAUAUAUUCUUGGAUGCAGUUUGUGCUUCAAAAGGAGCUACUUUUCAUGCCAGCCUAUCGAUACUAUGUGGGAACUGGGAUUCGGGAUGCUCUCCCACUGGUAUCAUAUGCAGAUCAGUGGUCACAAGAACGUACACAACAUCAUUAAUGUCAGCAAUAUAUAUCUCCAACUUCAAACACACAGCUUGCAAAAUCGCUGAAUAUUGCACAAAAGCAGCUUCGUUACAAACUUCCAGCAACUCGAAAUCCACAAGCAGUCUCGUUCCCCACCCACUUUGACUUCGUAGCGAAGGCAUGUUUUUUUUGGGAAACCGUUAACAUCUCACAACUAAACGUAUACUACGGAGAUUGACAAGUUGAAAAAUAAAUUACUGUAAUCACUUCCAAUUUGCGCACUAAGUUAAACUCCAGUUCCAGUUUGUCUUUAUUGUUGAAAUGUUACUCUACACAUUCGCUUUGAAAAUAGAGGUUGGCGUGUUGUUGGAAGUACAUGUACAUGUCGAAUGUGUUAUUGUAAAAACUAUUGGUAUUGUGUUUUUAGUGCAGACAUUGUAUUUAAGUUUCGAUUUCUAGCAUAAAUUUAUAUAUUUUGUUAAAUAAUUUGCGUUUGAAUGUGAUUGUUUGUUGCUUACUUGCGAACUAUUUUUUAUGUGUAAAUAUGCAUAGACGCUAGUGGAUAUGUAAUCAGGUUACCAUAUUUACAACAAUAAAAUUUAACGGCUGUU
This is a long non-coding RNA of Dreissena polymorpha, 1560 nucleotides long. RefSeq lists it as uncharacterized. The transcript has 2 exons. The record is from RefSeq and is a predicted model, not a curated record. NCBI's taxonomy places the organism in Eukaryota, Metazoa, Mollusca, Bivalvia, Myida, Dreissenidae.